RNAcentral lists this ribosomal RNA (253 nucleotides) under uncultured bacterium. Its description in RNAcentral is "partial 16S ribosomal RNA". It matches the Rfam family "Bacterial small subunit ribosomal RNA", at positions 524 to 776 of the family's 1533-position model. The record is from RNAcentral.
UACAGAGGUCCCAAGCGUUGUUCGGAUUCAUUGGGCGUAAAGGGUGCGUAGGCGGCGUGGUAAGUCACUUGUGAAAUCUCUGAGCUUAACUCAGAACGGCCAAGUGAUAUUGCUGUGCUAGAGUGCAGAAGGGGCAAUCGGAAUUCUUGGUGUAGCGGUGAAAUGCGUAGAUAUCAAGAGGAACACCUGAGGUGAAGACGGGUUGCUGGGCUGACACUGACGCUGAUGCGCGAAAGCCAGGGGAGCAAACGGG